This 2107-nucleotide long non-coding RNA is filed under the name Brassica napus (rape). RNAcentral describes it as "long non-coding RNA (BNAP_LNC010597)". Lineage: Eukaryota; Viridiplantae; Streptophyta; Magnoliopsida; Brassicales; Brassicaceae. The record is from RNAcentral.
CCUGUGGCAGGAUCUUAAAAUUGACUCAAUUGCUGCUUUCACCUUUGGUAUGUAAUGGCCAAUUCCAUGGCCUGUUAAGGAACAUUAAGACAAGUUACGUGUAUGAAAAGACAGGUUUAUUACAACCAACUAACGACCUAAUUCAGGUUAACAGGUUACCGUUGAAUAUUUCCAAGCCAACAUACUGGCUUGAAGGUGACAUAACGAGGGCAAGCAAAGCGCGAAUACCAAUAAUCUUUGCUUCACUUGGACUAUCUUGUUUCAACAGUUCUAGUAACAUGUGAUUCAUGGCGAAGUCAAGGUUAUGAUCAGCUAUGGUCACACAAAACUCAACGAGUUUAUCUUGUUGGACAUCUUGAGUGAGCAUUCCUUUUCUCAGAACUGUUAACAAUUGUGAUGUCACGCUAUCCAAGUAAUCCCAUAUACGAUUUGGUGGCUGGGUAGCAGCAUAGACACUUAAAUAGAACCUCAACACCCGGUGAAGACAAUCAAGUGCCAUGUAACGAUGGUUCUUAUCCUGAAAAAUGCACAGUAUGUACUAUAAUGAGUGAAACCAAGAUAUAUAUACUACCAGGAACAGGCUUUAAUAAGAAGCCAAUGUAGUCACAGGUCCUCAGGGUGUGCAGACAGGACAACUACUCUCGUGCAUUCUUACUUAAUUUAAAUUCUGAGUGCAGGCAAACUUACUCUCAGAAGCUUGUACAAUUGUUCCAUGUGAGAGCUUAAAUUAUGAUGAAAUAUAAGCGGGUCUCCGAGACAGAGAAGAAGAGUCACCAGCGGAUAGCCAACCUAUUUGCCCAAUUAUACAUAUUAAGGACUGAAAUAACAAGGACAUGAUAAUAAACUGAUAUAAAAUCAGAUAGACGUACACCAAGAUGCUUGCUCUGUUUCUCCAUCCAAUGAAUUAGCUGCACUCUGAUGCGUCCAACAGCCUCAUACCAAAGUGUCAGCGCAGGCUCUGCGACUGAAGGAGGCCACUGGCUUUUACCACCAUCGGAAAGUGGCGCCAGGAUGUUAGAAAGCAUAUUGCAAAGCGCAUGAUGAAGCUCACUUUUACGCUUGUGGGGAGCACGGUUAAGAGGGUUUGCUUUAGCUACAAAGGAGGCAGACGCAUUUAGCCCACCCUCACUCUUAACCUGGAAAUAAACAUAAUGUCACGUUCGCUUCCUGAAUCUGCAUUUCCUAAGAAAAAAAGAGACAUACCCCAAGCUUUAAGUAUCGCAUCCCAUUAAUGAUGCUGAGAGUUUCACUUCUUGCAACACUUGUGUCAAUCCGGCGGGUAUUGAGCUCCAUGAAAAACCGUUCAGUGACAGAGCUGAAUCUGUUAGUGAAAAAUCACAUUAAUAAAGGAUUAGAAUGGUCGAGGUUCCAACUUUUUUUCAUUUAUACUUUAGCAUGCUUGGAGGACCGUUAACAACUAACAUUACAAAAUGAAAUACCUAAUACGGGAUAGUGCACCCAAGAGCUGAGCAACCAAGUCAAGAAGAAGACCCCUCAAAUCGACCAGCGAUGGGUAUUCUACUUGGCUAACAACCCUGCAACGGAGGAGCACCCAGAACUUAAGCAAAUUGCCAAAGGAUAAAAGCAUACUGAUUGGAAAAUCAUAUAGAUUUCAGCAAGAGAGAUCCUUGAGACUUUUCUUUAUUAAUAGCAUCUGCAUUUGUUUUGAAGGUUAGCAAUAAAUGUUUUCAGGAGGAAGUAUUAGCUAGAGAAUCCUACCUAGAAAUGAGAAAAAGCAAACACGCUAUAAACACCUACAAGAUUUGGUCAUCUUUGACCCUCCCCACAAAAACCAUGUACACCAGAGUAAGCUUUUAAGUAAAAGUAAGUUUACCUAUUGUAGUCCUUGAUGAUGUUAGAAGAGCUUGACUAUAAGUCCUGUGGCAGGAUCUUAAAAUUGACUCAAUUGCUGCUUUCACCUUUGGUAUGUAAUGGCCAAUUCCAUGGCCUGUUAAGGAACAUUAAGACAAGUUACGUGUAUGAAAAGACAGGUUUAUUACAACCAACUAACGACCUAAUUCAGGUUAACAGGUUACCGUUGAAUAUUUCCAAGCCAACAUACUGGCUUGAAGGUGACAUAACGAGGGCAAGCAAAGCGCGAAUACCA